Molecule: ribosomal RNA, 253 nt
Filed under: uncultured bacterium
Lineage: Bacteria
Description: partial 16S ribosomal RNA
Rfam family: Bacterial small subunit ribosomal RNA
Source: RNAcentral
UACGGAGGAUGCGAGCGUUAUUCGGAUUUAUUGGGUUUAAAGGGUGCGUAGGCGGUCUGUUAAGUCAGCGGUGAAAGUUUGAGGCUCAACCUUAAAAUUGCCGUUGAAACUGGCGGACUUGAGUGUAAAUGAAGUGGGCGGAAUUUGUGGUGUAGCGGUGAAAUGCAUAGAUAUCACGAGGAACUCCAAUUGCGAAGGCAGCUCACUAAGCUACAACUGACGCUGAAGCACGAAAGCGUGGGUAUCAAACAGG